RNAcentral lists this ribosomal RNA (811 nucleotides) under uncultured bacterium. RNAcentral's name for it is "bacterial SSU rRNA". It matches the Rfam family "Bacterial small subunit ribosomal RNA", at positions 94 to 916 of the family's 1533-position model. The record is from RNAcentral.
AGUGGCGCACGGGUGAGUAACACGUAGCUUACCUACCUCCAAGCGCGGGAUAACGUUCCGAAAGGAAUGCUAAUACCGCAUAAGCUCACGGGCUGUAGAGGCUUGUGAGAAAAGGGGCAACUCACUUGGAGAUGGGGCUGCGGCCCAUCAGCUGGUUGGUGAGGUAAAAGCUUACCAAGGCGACGACGGGUAGGGGACCUGAGAGGGUGACCCCCCACACUGGGACUGAGACACGGCCCAGACUCCUACGGGAGGCAGCAGUGAGGGAUAUUGCACAAUGGGCGCAAGCCUGAUGCAGCGACGCCGCGUGAGUGACGAAGGCCUUCGGGUCGUAAAACUCUUUUCUGCGUGACGAGCAAGGACGGUAGCGCAGGAAUAAGUCUCGGCUAACUACGUGCCAGCAGCCGCGGUAAAACGUAGGAGACGAACGUUAUCCGGAGUUACUGGGCGUAAAGGGCGUGCAGGCGGUUCGGUAAGUCUGGCGUGAAAUCAUUCGGCUUAACCGGGUGAUGUCGUCGGAGACUGUCGAACUAGAGGGCAAUAGAGGCGUGUGGAAUUCCGGGUGUAGUGGUGAAAUGCGUAGAGAUCCUGGGGAACACCAGUGGCGAAGGCGACACGCUGGGUUGCACCUGACGCUAAAACGCGACAGCAUGGGGAGCGAACGGGAUUAGAAACCCCGGUAGUCCAUGCCGUAAACGAUGCCAACUAGGUGUUCGGUGGGGGGAAACCCCACAGGGUACCGAAGCCAACACGGUAAGUUGGCCGCCUGGGGGAGUACGGUCGCAAGAUUAAAACUCAGAGGAAUUGACGG